GGAGAGUGACAGAGCGAGCGAGAGAGAGAGAGAAAGAGAGAGAGAGAGAGACUAUGUAAGAGGCUUUUCUGGUUCAAUCCCUCAGUAACUGUCACUAGCAGUCAGUCAGUCACCUGCAGAUGAUGGCGUCGAGGGCAUCCCAGGCAACAAAGUUAUCCGGUCUCGAUCUGAAUCGCUUGUCUUUUUGUUACAGAUAACAUGCUGUAUGAGAGUGAAUGUAAUACACUGAUUGAAAGAAUUUUUGUGUAAAUGAAGCAAUUUUGCUCGGAAAUGUUCGACCAUUUGAUACAACAAGCAAUGUAAGCUUAAAUAAAAUGUUCUGAAAUGA
Molecule: long non-coding RNA, 328 nt
Organism: Salarias fasciatus (jewelled blenny)
Lineage: Eukaryota; Metazoa; Chordata; Actinopteri; Blenniiformes; Blenniidae
Exons: 4
Source: RefSeq, a predicted model, not a curated record